UACGAAGGUGGCAAGCGUUACUCGGAAUUACUAGGCGUAAAGGGCAGGUAGGUGGUUCGGUAAGUCUGUUGUGUAAGCUCCCGGCUUAACUGGGAGAGGUCAACGGAAACUACCGGACUUGAGUAUGGGAGAGGGUUCUGGAAUUCCCGGUGUAGCGGUGAAAUGCGCAGAUAUCGGGAGGAACACCAAUGGCGAAGGCAGGUCUCUGGGCCACUACUGACGCUGAGAAGCGAAAGCAUGGGGAGCGAACAGG
This 253-nucleotide ribosomal RNA is filed under the name uncultured bacterium. Its description in RNAcentral is "partial 16S ribosomal RNA". It matches the Rfam family "Bacterial small subunit ribosomal RNA", at positions 524 to 776 of the family's 1533-position model. The record is from RNAcentral.